AGCAGGUCAGGAGAGGUGAUCCUGCCCCUCUGCUCAGCCCUGGUGAGACACAUCUGGAGUGCUGUGCCCAGUGCUGGGCUCCCCAGCACAUGAGAGACAUGGACCUGCUGCACUGAGUCAUGCAAAAGGUCACAAAGGUGAUUCAGGGCCGUAUAAGCAGAGGCUGAGAGUUGGGCUUAUUCAGCCUGGAGAAGAGAAGGCUGAAGAGGACCUUAUCAGUGUUUAUAAAUAUCUGACUGGAGGGGAGAGGGGAGUAAGGAAGAUGGGCCAGACCCUUCUCGGUGGUGGUGCCCAGUGACACCACCAGAGGCAAUGGCCAUAAACAGAAAUGUAGGAAAUUCUGUGUGAACAAAAGAAAUAACUUUUUUACAGUUCAGUGGUCAAACACUGGAGCAAGUUGCCCAGAGAGGUUGUAGAAUCUCCGUCCUUGGAACUAUUAGAAACCUGACUGGAUGCAGCCCUGAGGAAACUCCUUUAUUUGCCCCUGCUUUGACCGAGGAUUGGACCAGAUGGUCCCAAAAAUGCUCAACCGUUCUGUGAUUCUGUGGAGUGGGCACACCUGUGCAUUUAUACAUCUGUGAACACACAGGCAUCAGCAUCUUGCUCCCAUUGCUUCUUCUCUCCUCUGAUGGUGUUUAAGCCCUUUUGAACAGCAGCCCAUGGAAGAGGAUGGGUGGACAGAUUGUCUAUUAAAACAGGACCAAAGCCAUAAGAAUAACAGCAUGAGAACAAUGCGAGAACAACUGACAACAGAGGAAAACAGCUGUCCCAGAAGAGCUGGAAAACACUCUUAUGGCAGCUUAGGAGAAAAGAACAUUGUACCUUGACAAGCACUGUGGUUUCCCAUCUCUGUCAAUGGGUUCAGCAAG
This 869-nucleotide long non-coding RNA is filed under the name Manacus vitellinus (golden-collared manakin). RNAcentral describes it as "lncRNA (ENSMVIG00005012416.1)". The record is from RNAcentral. Lineage: Eukaryota; Metazoa; Chordata; Aves; Passeriformes; Pipridae.